RNAcentral lists this ribosomal RNA (253 nucleotides) under uncultured bacterium. Its description in RNAcentral is "partial 16S ribosomal RNA". It matches the Rfam family "Bacterial small subunit ribosomal RNA", at positions 524 to 776 of the family's 1533-position model. The record is from RNAcentral.
UACAGAGGGGGCAAGCGUUAUUCGGAAUUAUUGGGCGUAAAGCGUGCGUAGGCGGUUGGCAAAGUCAGCUGUGAAAGCCCCGGGCUCAACCUGGGAAUGGCGGUUGAAACUAGUCGACUCGAAUCUGGCAGAGGGGGGUGGAAUUCCACGUGUAGCAGUGAAAUGCGUAGAGAUGUGGAGGAACACCGAUGGCGAAGGCAGCCCCCUGGGCUGAGAUUGACGCUCAGGCACGAAAGCGUGGGGAGCAAACAGG